Molecule: non-coding RNA, 30 nt
Filed under: Rattus norvegicus (Norway rat)
Lineage: Eukaryota; Metazoa; Chordata; Mammalia; Rodentia; Muridae
Source: RNAcentral
UCUCAGAUGACACUUAUCUUAGGCACUUGU